GAUGAAGAACGCAUUGAAAUGCGAUAAGUAAUGUGAAUUGCAGAAUUCAGUGAAUCAUCGAAUCUUUGAACGCACAUUGCGCCCGCCAGUAUUCUGGCGGGCAUGCCUGUUCGAGCGUCAUUUCAACCAUCAAGCCCCAGGCUUGUGUUGGGGACCUGCGGCUGCCGCAGGCCCUGAAAACCAGUGGCGGGCUCGCUGUCACACCGGGCGUAGUAGAUUUUAUCUCGCUCUGGGCGUGCUGCGGGUUCCGGCCGUUAAAAAACCCUUUUAACCCAAGGUUGACCUCGGAUCAGGUAGGAAUACCCGCUGAACUUAAGCAUAUCAAUAAGCGGAGGA
Molecule: unclassified non-coding RNA, 336 nt
Filed under: soil metagenome
Description: partial contains 5.8S ribosomal RNA, internal transcribed spacer 2, and large subunit ribosomal RNA
Rfam family: 5.8S ribosomal RNA (bases 1-120)
Source: RNAcentral